GAUGAAGAACGCAGCGAAAUGCGAUAAGUAAUGUGAAUUGCAGAAUUCAGUGAAUCAUCGAAUCUUUGAACGCACCUUGCGCCCUUUGGCUAUUCCGAAGGGCAUGCCUGUUUGAGUAUCAUGAACACCUCAACCCUCAUGGUUUGCCAUGAUGGGCUUGGACUUUGGGGGUCUUGCUGGAUUGUAGUCAGCUCCCCUUAAAUGAAUCAGCUUGCCAGUGUUUGGUGGCAUCACAGGUGUGAUAAAUAUCUACGCUUGUGGUUUUACAUCAGAUAACCUUCAGUGAUGGAGGUUCACUGGAGCUCAUAAAGGUGUCUCUCCUCUGUGAGGACAGCUCUUUGAAUGUUUGAUCUCAAAUCAGGCAGGACUACCCGCUGAACUUAAGCAUAUCAUAAGCGGAGGA
RNAcentral lists this unclassified non-coding RNA (403 nucleotides) under soil metagenome. Its description in RNAcentral is "partial contains 5.8S ribosomal RNA, internal transcribed spacer 2, and large subunit ribosomal RNA". The stretch from base 1 to 121 matches the Rfam family "5.8S ribosomal RNA", at positions 35 to 154 of the family's 154-position model. The record is from RNAcentral.